Molecule: unclassified non-coding RNA, 235 nt
Filed under: Hevea brasiliensis (rubber tree)
Lineage: Eukaryota; Viridiplantae; Streptophyta; Magnoliopsida; Malpighiales; Euphorbiaceae
Source: RNAcentral
AAGUAGAUUGUAGAAAAGCUCAAGGAGUCUCAAAUUUUUCAACUUCCCAAGUUCUUUAGGCACCUUACCAGCAAGACGAUUCGCGCUCAAUUCAAGAUCAACAAGAGAUGUCAUGUUACUUAUCGUCACUGGAAUUGUCCCAUGCAUAUUACAAGCUGUUAAAAUCAUCCACUUGAGAUUUAUCAGCCUGGAAAUUUCCUCUGGUAAUCGCCACGGAUUAAAAUGGCGAUUUUCG